ACCCCUCUGCCAUUCCUCAUCCACGGCUCGGCAUAUAAGGCGGCCAGAGGACGGCUGCGCACAACCUCCUCAUUUCUGCCGCUCCGCCAUGCGCCUGCCGCCCCUACUCCUCGUGCUCUGCGUGCUGGUCCUCGCGGCUGAAGGAUGGAAGUGUUACCGUCCGCGGCAGACGUGCGGUAUCUUCCGUAACAAGGUGUGCCUACUAUGCAGAUAUGGAAAGCUCUGCUGCCGCGGUGGUGAUACUUUCAGAGAGUGCCAGAGAAAGUGCAAAUAUGGACAUUGCUAUCCGUGCCAUCUCGGUUUCUGCUGCCGCCCCCCUUUCUGUCAGGGCAAGAACUGCAAACAGCGCUAAUCGCUCUGCUGAAGAAAGCAUACCUGCCAUCAGCAAGAGGACAUCUCCAGCGUUCGGAGCGUUCAGCAGCUUAUAUCACCCAGUGUAGAUGGCUAACGACGCGCGCGCAGCGAUCCGAAAGAACAUGCUAGCAAUCAUGGUCUCGCGGGCUUGGAGGGCGCUAAUCAAACAUGCACAUUAAUUGUUAAUUAAUUGAACGCCGUUAAUUGAACACAUUGGCCUGUCUGUGCACUGCUGCCGCUGAGGACGAUAGCCGUCGAAUGUCACCUGGCUCAGACAAAUAAAGGAGA
Long non-coding RNA from Pollicipes pollicipes, 642 nucleotides. RefSeq lists it as uncharacterized. The transcript is spliced from 3 exons. Lineage: Eukaryota; Metazoa; Arthropoda; Thecostraca; Pollicipedomorpha; Pollicipedidae. The record is from RefSeq and is a predicted model, not a curated record.